GAGACAGCAGUCGCCACGGGAACACGUAGGGUGCAAGCGUUAAUCGGAAUUACUGGGCGUAAAGCGUGCGCAGGCGGUUAUAUAAGACAGAUGUGAAAUCCCCGGGCUCAACCUGGGAACUGCAUUUGUGACUGUAUAGCUAGAGUACGGCAGAGGGGGAUGGAAUUCCGCGUGUAGCAGUGAAAUGCGUAGAUAUGCGGAGGAACACCGAUGGCGAAGGCAAUCCCCUGGGCCUGUACUGACGCUCAUGCACGAAAGCGUGGGGAGCAAACAGGAUUAGAUACCCCCGUAGUCCCUGUCUCUUAUAC
RNAcentral lists this ribosomal RNA (308 nucleotides) under uncultured bacterium. Its description in RNAcentral is "partial 16S ribosomal RNA". It matches the Rfam family "Bacterial small subunit ribosomal RNA", at positions 505 to 807 of the family's 1533-position model. The record is from RNAcentral.